This 549-nucleotide ribosomal RNA is filed under the name uncultured Glomus. Its description in RNAcentral is "SSU rRNA". It matches the Rfam family "Eukaryotic small subunit ribosomal RNA", at positions 548 to 1098 of the family's 1831-position model. Lineage: Eukaryota; Fungi; Glomeromycota; Glomeromycetes; Glomerales; Glomeraceae. The record is from RNAcentral.
UUGGAGGGCAAGUCUGGUGCCAGCAGCCGCGGUAAUUCCAGCUCCAAUAGCGUAUAUUAAAGUUGUUGCAGUUAAAAAGCUCGUAGUUGAACUUCGGGAUCAAUGGAUUGGUCAUGCCGUUGGUAUGUACUGGUCAUAUUGGUUCUCACCUUCUAAGGAACCAUAAUGUCAUUCAUUUGAUGUUUUGGGGAAUUAGGACUGUUACCUUGAAAAAAUUAGAGUGUUUAAAGCAGGCUAACGCUUGAAUACAUUAGCAUGGAAUAAUGAAACAGGACAUCGCAUUCUAUUUUGUUGGUUUCUAGGAUCGAUGUAAUGAUUAAUAGGGAUAGUUGGGGGCAUUAGUAUUCAAUUGUCAGAGGUGAAAUUCUUGGAUUUAUUGAAGACUAACUACUGCGAAAGCAUUUGCCAAGGAUGUUUUCAUUAAUCAAGAACGAAAGUUAGGGGAUCGAAGACGAUCAGAUACCGUCGUAGUCUUAACCAUAAACUAUGCCGACUAGGGAUCGGAUGAUGUUGAUUUUUUAAUGACUCAUUCGGCGCCUUACGGGAAAC